AAUCAACGCUGGCGGCGUGCCUAACACAUGCAAGUCGAACGCGAAAGGGGCGUUCGGCCCUGAGUAGAGUGGCGUCCGGGUGAGUAACGCGUGGGUAAUCUACCCUCGGGUGGGGAAGUAACCAAUACGAAAGAUUGGCUAAUACCGCAUAAUGCAGCGGCUCGACAUCGAGACAGUUGUUAAAGCAGCAAUGCGCCAGAGGAGGAGCCUGCGUCUGAUUAGC
This 223-nucleotide ribosomal RNA is filed under the name uncultured bacterium. Its description in RNAcentral is "partial 16S ribosomal RNA". It matches the Rfam family "Bacterial small subunit ribosomal RNA", at positions 32 to 245 of the family's 1533-position model. The record is from RNAcentral.